UACGUAGGGUGCGAGCGUUAAUCGGAAUUACUGGGCGUAAAGAGCUCGUAGGCGGUUUGUCGCGUCUGCUGUGAAAACUCGGGGCUUAACUCCGGGCCUGCAGUGGGUACGGGCAGACUAGAGUGCGGUAGGGGAGACUGGAAUUCCUGGUGUAGCGGUGAAAUGCGCAGAUAUCAGGAGGAACACCGGUGGCGAAGGCGGGUCUCUGGGCCGAUACUGACGCUGAGGAGCGAAAGCGUGGGGGAGCGAACAGG
This 254-nucleotide ribosomal RNA is filed under the name uncultured bacterium. RNAcentral's name for it is "partial 16S ribosomal RNA". It matches the Rfam family "Bacterial small subunit ribosomal RNA", at positions 524 to 776 of the family's 1533-position model. The record is from RNAcentral.